AUUGAACGCUGGCGGCAUGCCUUACACAUGCAAGUCGAACGGCAGCACGGGUGCUUGCACCUGGUGGCGAGUGGCGAACGGGUGAGUAAUACAUCGGAACAUGUCCUGUAGUGGGGGAUAGCCCGGCGAAAGCCGGAUUAAUACCGCAUACGAUCUACGGAUGAAAGCGGGGGACCUUCGGGCCUCGCGCUAUAGGGUUGGCCGAUGGCGGAUUAGCUAGUUGGUGGGGUAAAGGCCUACCAAGGCGACGAUCAGUAGCUGGUCUGAGAGGACGACCAGCCACACUGGAACUGAGACACGGCCCAGACUCCUACGGGAGGCAGCAGUGGGGAAUUUUGGACAAUGGGCGAAAGCCUGAUCCAGCAAUGCCGCGUGUGUGAAGAAGGCCUUCGGGUUGUAAAGCACUUUUGUCCGGAAAGAAAUGCUUGGCCCUAAUACGGUCGGGGGAUGACGGUACCGGAAGAAUAAGCACCGGCUAACUACGUG
This 486-nucleotide ribosomal RNA is filed under the name uncultured bacterium. Its description in RNAcentral is "partial 16S ribosomal RNA". It matches the Rfam family "Bacterial small subunit ribosomal RNA", at positions 30 to 507 of the family's 1533-position model. The record is from RNAcentral.